GACGAACGCUGGCGGCGUGCUUAACACAUGCAAGUCGAACGGUGAAGGGGCCUGCUUUUGUGGGCCCUGGUUGAGUGGCGCACGGGUGAGAAACACGUGAGUAACCUGCCCCCUUCUUCUGGAUAACCGCAUGAAAGUGUGGCUAAUACGGGAUUUUCUGGGUCUGUCGCAUGCUGGGUCUGGGAAAGAUUGCGCCUUUGGGUGUUUUUGGUGGGGGAUGGGCUCGCGGUCUAUCUGCUGGUUGGUGGAGUGAUGGCCUCCCAAGGAGGUGACGCGUAGCCGGGCUGAGGGGGUGGACGGUCGGACUGGAGAUGAGACACGGACCAGACUGGUACGGAGCGGAGCAGUGGAGUAGACUACGCGAGGAGGCCUAGCCUAAUGCAGCGGCGCCGCGGGAGAGGGGGAGGGGUUCGGGAUGUAAUCCUCUUUCGCAAGAAAAGCAGGCCUGCUACUUGUGGGUGGGUUGACGGUAGCUGGAGAAGAAGCGCCGGCUAACUACGUG
RNAcentral lists this ribosomal RNA (502 nucleotides) under uncultured bacterium. RNAcentral describes it as "partial 16S ribosomal RNA". It matches the Rfam family "Bacterial small subunit ribosomal RNA", at positions 28 to 507 of the family's 1533-position model. The record is from RNAcentral.